This is a small nuclear RNA of Folsomia candida, 98 nucleotides long. It matches the Rfam family "U2 spliceosomal RNA". Rfam says of the family: U2 is a small nuclear RNA (snRNA) component of the spliceosome (involved in pre-mRNA splicing). Complementary binding between U2 snRNA (in an area lying towards the 5' end but 3' to hairpin I) and the branchpoint sequence (BPS) of the intron results the bulging out of an unpaired adenosine, on the BPS, which initiates a nucleophilic attack at the intronic 5' splice site, thus starting the first of two transesterification reactions that mediate splicing. Lineage: Eukaryota; Metazoa; Arthropoda; Collembola; Entomobryomorpha; Isotomidae. The record is from Rfam.
AUCUCUUCUCUGCCUUUGGGCUAAGAUCAAAGUGUAGUAUCUGUUCUUAUCAGUAGAAUACAAAUUGUAGAACUGACUAAUUUCAACUUUCUCUCUUU